Molecule: long non-coding RNA, 2157 nt
Organism: Equus asinus (donkey)
Lineage: Eukaryota; Metazoa; Chordata; Mammalia; Perissodactyla; Equidae
Source: Ensembl
AUAGGAACACCCAGUAUCACCUCACACUUUCAUCAACUUCAAAGACUUUUCCUCCCAAUAUUCUACCCCGUUGCCCUUCAAAAAUCCAUCCAAGAAAUUUCAUUAAUUAAUGUUUUACAAUGAAAUAUUUGAAAAGUUUCCCAUAAAUUAGAAGAUUUUCCCUAAGGUUUAAAACUCAAUACCCAUGUAUAGGGGCAUUAGCUGGCAUGCCCCUUUAAAAACCUUGUGUCCUUGAGGCUCCUGUCUGGGCUGUGCACCAGCAUUCAUGAUAACAGUCCUUGGCCAACCCAGCUCCUUUCCCGUGGGAGAGUUAGCACCAAGACCCUCACGGUAUGAAGGAACAUGGAGGCCCUCCAGGGGGGCUCUGGUCCUUGGAAUGUGGGUCGUACAGGGACUAUCUCCCUUGGCAAGCACGCAGCCUUUGUUCCUCUGCCUACUUAAGCAAGCUUCUCUUAGGGAGCAGUAGCGGGUGCAGGUUGCUGUCCAGACGGCAGCCACCGGACCUUCCCUGUAAGUAACUCCCAAUAAACCCAUAUGUCUCAUUCGCUGUCUCCGGGUCUUUUCUUUGGUCUCUCAGCAACCUGUCCCACACUGCUCACCCAGGUGUGCGUGUGGCGGAACACUAUGUUUCCUCAUCCUUAGAGAGACAUGCAGCCCUAAAAUUGCACAAAAUCAUUUCCUUUAAAUCCACAUGCCCCUUUUAAAUAAUCUUUAAAUAAAUCUCAAAUCUCAGGAAGUCUUUCCUAGAUCAGGUCUUAGUCUUCUGCCCCAGGCCCCAGAGUUUCUCUGAGAGCUACCAUCCGUUUGUCAGGGAGCAAAACAAAGCCCUCGGCCAAUCAGACCGUUUUUAAGAGGAGCUUCUCCACCUUGAUUGUGCGUUAGAACCACCUGAGACCUUCAGAACUACUGAUGCUUGGGGCCCAAAUUUUAUCAUUAUGUGAGACUCUCUGGAAAGGGACCGUCAUCAGGAUAGUUAAACCCUCUCCAGGUGGUUCUAAUCUGCAGCCUGGGCAUGACUCAGUUUACUAAAGUCUCCACCUCACUGGAGCACAAUGAGGUGGGAAUGGACCAAGGAGGCCCCUUCACCCGGGUGCAGAUCAUGGCAAAGUGCACGCUGUUCCUCUAAGGAUGCAGAUGUCAAACCAGACAACACGGUAGAACCACCAAGGGAGCUUUUCACAAAUACUACUGCCUGGAACCCAGCCCCAAAUCAUCAAGUCUGAAUCACUGGGGUUGGCCUUUGAAAUGACUUCCAGAUGAAUCUGUGUAGAAUCAGGGCUGGCAAGCUAUUUCACCACUGAAUUCACUCGCAGACAGGAUUCACGAUACUCUGAGUUUCUGGACUAGUGGGAGAGCUAUGCUUAACCUGGAAGUUAUAUUGAAUUGUACGAGUGUUUGUCAAGGUUGAAGACAGAAUAACAGGGAAACAACUCUGAGGGGGGUCACUGUCUGGGAAGGCGUCUAUGUACCAAGUGACUGCCCGAGACCUGCAUGAGGAGUAUGAGCCUGCUUGAUGAAUGGCAUUAGUGGAGGAUGGAAGAGGAGCAAACACAUCCAAGACCUUUAAUAGUGGCUAGAGCUCCCAUGGGCUUCAGAGACUGCCAGAAGCGGAGAGGAGCAAACACGUUUCUACACUCCGAGACCUCCUGACUCUCCUGAGCUCCAGCAAGGCAGACCAAGAGCCAGCUGUCUGCAGAUCCUGGAUUAGGCCCUGUGGCUGCGGAGAAAACUCAGGGAUAAAAAUGAGGAUAAACUGGGAGGGAACCUGCUUCUUGUGUGUCUGUGGGAGGAUAGUUGUGACAUGUAGGAUGCUGCCUCAGCAUGGCUUGAUGAGCAGUGCCAUGUCCACGCCCAGGAUUCGAACCAACGAAACACUGGGCUGCCUGCAGCAGAGCACGCGAACUUAACCACUCGGCCACGGGGUCAGCACCACUUUGGUAUUUGUUUCAAAGUCUAUUCUGUCUGGUAUAAGUAUAGCUACUUUAGCUUUCUAUUUGCUUGGAAUAUAUUUUUCCAUCCCUUCAUUCUCAAUCCAUGUGUUCUUACAUCUGAAGUCACAGCAUCUAGAUGAAUCUUGUUUUAUUAUCCAUAAGCCACUCAGUGUCAUUUGAUUGGAGAAAUUUAGUCCAUUUACAUUAAAGGAAUUAUUGACAGGUA